UACGUAGGGGGCAAGCGUUGUCCGGAUUUAUUGGGCGUAAAGAGCGUGUAGGCGGCUAGGCAGGUCCGUUGUGAAAACUCGAGGCUCAACCUCGAGCUGUCGAUGGAAACCAUCUGGCUAGAGUCCGGAAGAGGAGAGUGGAAUUCCUGGUGUAGCGGUGAAAUGCGCAGAUAUCAGGAAGAACACCCGUGGCGAAGGCGGCUCUCUGGUACGUGACUGACGCUGAGACGCGAAAGCGUGGGGAGCGAACAGG
Molecule: ribosomal RNA, 253 nt
Filed under: uncultured bacterium
Lineage: Bacteria
Description: partial 16S ribosomal RNA
Rfam family: Bacterial small subunit ribosomal RNA
Source: RNAcentral